This is a long non-coding RNA of Orbicella faveolata, 1473 nucleotides long. The record is from RefSeq and is a predicted model, not a curated record. NCBI's taxonomy places the organism in Eukaryota, Metazoa, Cnidaria, Anthozoa, Scleractinia, Merulinidae.
AAACGCCGGCUUUGCAUUUUAGUGUGGAUAGGAACCAUUUUGAAAACGAAGCUUUUCAAAAACGGCGAGGUUACGAGAAUUGUGAUAUUUCCCUGCCGGAGUUUUCUUCAAACACAAAUCCAAAACAGACCGGCGAUUGUCAGUUGCGUUUUCAAAUUUCUCCGGCGUAGUGUGGACGGAGCCGAAAUCGAACACACAAGACAGGUCACGUAGAGAGGGAGCCAAUGUUCCAACUUUUACAAUUUGCAGAAUAUAGAACUACCAAAAUCAUCACAAAUUAAAUAAACUGGUACUCCCAGCUGUUUUGUUGUACUGAAAAUAUAUUAUAGAAUUAAUAUUCUUCAGGGUCAAGAGCAGAUUUCAUCAUUGGUUAGUGUUAGUUUAGGCAGACGCUGCUGUAGUGCUUUAAAUUUAUUUGUUCUCAUGUAUGUAUCUGUCUUGUUUUUUUACAUGCACGGCAAUCGCCGGGAGGCGGUCCACAGUCCGCUCAUCCCAUCUCCCGCUGUGCUAAAGUAGAACCCAGUCUUCUGAGUCGACUCAGGAUCAAUUGUUCCUUUGUGGAGAAUUACACCUGGAACACAUUUUAGCUGUAUACCAUUCACUUAGCCUAGCGUUGGUACUGCGCAGUCAUAACCCUCUGUCCGUAAUCAAAGCUUUAUUGGAAGUGUCUUUAGAGUGAUCGUGGCAGUAAGGCGCAGUUCUGCACCAGGCCAUAUCCGAGUUGGCUUUUGCCUCUGUUUCAAAACGAGUCCUCAUGCAAUACGAUUCUUAUGAAAAUGAAUUUGAUUUGCGUGAAAAUGAACUUUCAGAACAAAUGCAUUUUCAUAGCAAUGGUUUCGCCCUAAUACUCGUUUUCACACAGAGGCAAAAGGCUACUCGGAAAUGACUUCUUUUUUCUUUAGUGGCAAAAGCAUCAGGUUAAAGGUCCCAUAAUGUUGACAUGGAAUGUAUGUGGGAUUAUUGCAUAUUUCAAUGUCUUGUUUGUUGCUUAAAUAGUAACUCGCCUUCACUAGUAUUUCAGUGGCACAGACAUUGGUGUCGUUGAUGAUCUUAAUUUAUUACCCCUAUUUAUUGCCUGUUUCCUUUUUGUAGCAGUCAACAGCUGAUUCCUCACAAACAUGGACGAGCUGCUUGUAACAAGACUAUCGGAUGUCUCCUGUGUAUUUAGAAGAUUACAGCCAAGGGUGUCAUAAAUAGAUGUCUCCAACAUGGAAUACAUUCUGUCAAAAUUCCCUUGUGAGAUUUGGUCCUUUGUGAGAAGAAGAGGAGAGCUAGACAAAGCCCAUCCCCCGUUUGCCAUAGACAUGAAAUUGGGUGUCCUGUGAGAGAAAGAGGAAAAACGGACCGCGUUUAGUCUUUGGUCUGUCACGCGACGUUUCAUGCACAACAUCCGCCUGACUUGGUCACGAAACUGACUGUGCCUGAAGCCAUAGAUCCAAGGGUUUGUCACGCAACUGAUGCUCAUGAGAAAGG